GUCCGGAUCGGAUAGUGGUUAUUCCGUUGCUUUGCUAUGUUCGAGAUUCGAAAGGCAAUGCCGAGAGGCUCGUGAGUUCGAAUCUCACUUCGGACG
Molecule: transfer RNA, 96 nt
Filed under: Kwoniella bestiolae CBS 10118
Lineage: Eukaryota; Fungi; Basidiomycota; Tremellomycetes; Tremellales; Cryptococcaceae
Description: tRNA-Ser
Rfam family: tRNA
About the family: Transfer RNA (tRNA) molecules are approximately 80 nucleotides in length. Their secondary structure includes four short double-helical elements and three loops (D, anti-codon, and T loops).
Source: RNAcentral